Long non-coding RNA from Notolabrus celidotus (New Zealand spotty), 1667 nucleotides. RefSeq lists it as uncharacterized. Lineage: Eukaryota; Metazoa; Chordata; Actinopteri; Labriformes; Labridae. The transcript has 5 exons. The record is from RefSeq and is a predicted model, not a curated record.
CAGCAAUUAUACAAGGCAGGAGGCACAGGUGUGUGUUUGAGCAGUUUUCAGUGGAAGAAAUUGGAAAAACUCUCAUGGAAUAAACUGAGAUUGAACUGCGGACCUAUGUUCCUGUCCUCCAGCUCCUGUUUGCUGGGCCUGUUUCGUAGUUUGACAGCAAGCAACUCCUUCCUUAGCCUGCGAGGAAGUGUGCCUGAAAACACACACAAGGAGUUUACAGGAUAGGAGUCGUGACUGGGAAUUCUCUGGGGGCCUAAACAAACUACUGUGUAUUUAACUUGCUGGCAACAGCAAUGAGGAUUUAAGGCAGCUCUAUAACAUCCCCUGAUGCGUUGACACUGAGUGUUUUGAGGGAUUGUCCUACCAGGUGGGGGCAGCUCUUCAUCAGGACCGAGGGCUUGAAGAUGCGCCCCAGGGUAGCCAGCUUGCUGUUACGUCGGAUGGGUGGAGUGUGUACCCCGGUCACCAAGCAGCCUGUCCUCAGCACCCUCUGCUGGUCGACUAAAUCUACUACAGGGACAGAGGAGUUGGAAAAAGAGGCCCAGAGGAGGGCCGAGAGAUUCAACAGGAGGAUGAAAAUGGGUAAGGAUAGAGAGGGAGAGAGAGGGAACAGCAUAGUAGAAGUGUGUUGCAGUGCAGAGGGACAGAUUGAAGACAUGCAGGGAUGAAUAAAAAUGUGAAAAGUGGGUGAGAGGAGACAGAGAAACAAGGAGAAAGAGAAACCAGAGCACAAUUAGUAUGCUCACCUUACUGAAUAAACCAUGAUGGACUCCAAGUGCUGUGAACAGAUUGAAUUAGAGAGACUAAUUUGAUCACAGCACACUCCCUCAUGGCUGUGAGCCCCCUCCCACAGAGCCAUACGUCAUGUUUCAAAAUAAAUAACAAACUCACAGGCUGAAUUUGACAGGAACAGAACGGCACACAGUCACAGACAGCCUCACAAGACUACAAAAAGAUCCAUUUCCCCAGAGACCAACAGGUGUGCCAGCAGCACUGCUUUCCCAGAAGCAGCAUUAGACUCAGUUACCUGGUAGAAAAAAAACGGGCUGAUUGUUUUUCAUUGUGUCAACCCUCUUUUUUUCCUGGUACACUGCUCUUCUUCCAAAAUGAACUGUAGUGAUGUUCUAUUUCUCACAGGACAGAUGUCUCCCAAAGUAAUCAGUGUUUAAAAAGAGGUGAAAAGACAUACCAUAAUCCUACAAAACAGGCAGAAAACAAGGGCUGCAUGCAGUGUGUUUUCAUCAUUCCAUCCUAUGAGACAUGUUUUGGGUGCCUGCACGUCUUGUGUUGCAUAUGACUGAACCACAUGUUUGUAUUAUAGUCUGAACACAGAUAAUUAAUGUGUUUUUCCUUUCAAAGAAUAGCUCUUUCCUCCAAGAUAGCACCUGCUAAUUGCCUAGGGAAAUAAAUAAAGGAGUAAGCAGCAACUGAUGAGCACAGUUUAUAAAAUUGAACCAAAAUAAUAUAUAAGCCGUUCCUGCGUGCGCAGAGACCCUUUUUUUGGCUCAAGAUGAAACUUCUAUUCCAUUGAAUGAUGGUUGUGACUCAUAUCAGGAAAAGUGUGGGUCCACAGAUCUGUACAUUCACAUUGCUGCUUGUUUGCCUGCAUCCAGUCGCUAAGAGUGCCAAGAAAGAGGAAAUGUACAAUAAAUGCAUUUAUUUAAGUG